This 253-nucleotide ribosomal RNA is filed under the name uncultured bacterium. RNAcentral describes it as "partial 16S ribosomal RNA". It matches the Rfam family "Bacterial small subunit ribosomal RNA", at positions 524 to 776 of the family's 1533-position model. The record is from RNAcentral.
UACGAAGGGGGCGAGCGUUGUUCGGAUUUACUGGGCGUAAAGGGCGCGCAGGCGGCUUAUUUUGUCAGGCGUGAAAGCCCCGGGCUUAACCUGGGAACUGCGUUUGAUACGGAUGGGCUAGAGUUUGGGAGAGGGACGCGGAAUUCCAGGUGUAGCGGUGAAAUGCGUAGAUAUCUGGAGGAACACCGGUGGCGAAGGCGGCGUCCUGGACCAACACUGACACUGAUGAGCGAAAGCCAGGGGAGCAAACGGG